UACGGGGGGGGCAAGCGUUGUUCGGAAUUACUGGGCGUAAAGGGUUCGUAGGUGGCCAACUCAGUCAGACGUGAAAUCCCUCAGCUUAACUGGGGAACUGCGUCUGAUACUGGAUGGCUUGAGUUUGGGAGAGGGAUGCGGAAUUCCAGGUGUAGCGGUGAAAUGCGUAGAUAUCUGGAGGAACACCGGUGGCGAAGGCGGGUUGCUGGGCUGAUACUGACGCUGAGGCGCGAAAGCCGGGGAGCGA
Molecule: ribosomal RNA, 247 nt
Filed under: uncultured bacterium
Lineage: Bacteria
Description: partial 16S ribosomal RNA
Rfam family: Bacterial small subunit ribosomal RNA
Source: RNAcentral